This 304-nucleotide ribosomal RNA is filed under the name uncultured bacterium. Its description in RNAcentral is "bacterial SSU rRNA". It matches the Rfam family "Bacterial small subunit ribosomal RNA", at positions 139 to 420 of the family's 1533-position model. The record is from RNAcentral.
AGGGAUACUCCGAGGAAACCGGGGCUAAUACCGAAUAAUCUAUUNUUACUUCAUGGUGAAAUACUGAAAGACGGUUUCAGGCUAGUCGCUAUAAGAUGGGUUCCGCGGCGUCAUUAGCUAGUUGGUGAGGUAACGGCAUCACCAAGGCGACGAUAGCGUAGUCGAUCCUAGAGAGGGUAGACUCGGUCACACUAGGGACUAGAGACACGGCCCAGACUCCUACGGGAGGCAGCAGUAGGGAAUCUUCCACAAUGGGCGAAAGUCCUGAUGGAGCAACGCCGCGUGAGGUAGAAGAAGGAAUNCG